RNAcentral lists this ribosomal RNA (485 nucleotides) under uncultured bacterium. RNAcentral's name for it is "partial 16S ribosomal RNA". It matches the Rfam family "Bacterial small subunit ribosomal RNA", at positions 30 to 507 of the family's 1533-position model. The record is from RNAcentral.
AUUGAACGCUGGCGGCAGGCUUAACACAUGCAAGUCGAGCGGGGAAGAGUAGCUUGCUACUUGACCUAGCGGCGGACGGGUGAGUAAUGCUUAGGAAUCUGCCUAUUAGUGGGGGACAACAUCUCGAAAGGGAUGCUAAUACCGCAUACGUCCUACGGGAGAAAGCAGGGGACCUUCGGGCCUUGCGCUAAUAUAUGAGCCUAAGUCGGAUUAGCUAGUUGGUGGGGUAAAGGCCUACCAAGGCGACGAUCUGUAGCGGGUCUGAGAGGAUGAUCCGCCACACUGGGACUGAGACACGGCCCAGACUCCUACGGGAGGCAGCAGUGGGGAAUAUUGGACAAUGGGGGGAACCCUGAUCCAGCCAUGCCGCGUGUGUGAAGAAGGCCUUUUGGUUGUAAAGCACUUUAAGCGAGGAGGAGGCUACCGAGAUUAAUACUCUUGGAUAGUGGACGUUACUCGCAGAAUAAGCACCGGCUAACUCUGUG